Molecule: ribosomal RNA, 501 nt
Filed under: uncultured soil bacterium
Lineage: Bacteria
Description: bacterial SSU rRNA
Rfam family: Bacterial small subunit ribosomal RNA
Source: RNAcentral
AGAUUGAACGCUGGCGGCAGGCCUAACACAUGCAAGUCGAGCGGUAGAGAGGUGCUUGCACCUCUUGAGAGCGGCGGACGGGUGAGUAAUGCCUAGGAAUCUGCCUAGUGGUGGGGGAUAACGUUCGGAAACGGACGCUAAUACCGCAUACGUCCUACGGGAGAAAGCGGGGGACCUUCGGGCCUCGCGCCAUUAGAUGAGCCUAGGUCGGAUUAGCUAGUUGGUGAGGUAAUGGCUCACCAAGGCGACGAUCCGUAACUGGUCUGAGAGGAUGAUCAGUCACACUGGAACUGAGACACGGUCCAGACUCCUACGGGAGGCAGCAGUGGGAAUAUUGGACAAUAGGGCGCAAGCCUGAUCCAGCAAUGCCGCGUGCAGGAUGAAGGCCUUCGGUGUAAACUGCUUUUGUACGGAACGUAAACGUUCGUCUACUAAUACGAGGGCUAAGUGAACGUACCGUAAGAAAUAAGCAACCGGCUAACUACGUGCCAGACAGCCGUA